CACGUAGUUAGCCGGCGCUCUUAUCCAGCUACCGUCAACCCACCCACCAGGGGCAGGCCUGCUUCACUGGCGAAAGAGGUUCACAACCCGAAGGCCUCCAUCCCUCACGCGGCGUCGCUGCAUCAGGCUUGCGCCCAUUGUGCAAUAUUCCCCACUGCUGCCUCCCGUAGGGGUCUGGGCCGUGUCUCAGUCCCAGUGUGACCGUCCACCCUCUCAGGCCGGCUACCCGUCACCGCCUUGGUAGGCCAUCACCCCACCAACAACGCUGAUAGGCCGCGAGCCCCAUCCCCCACCAGAAAAAACCUUUCCCAGACCCAUCAUCGCGACACGACCCAGAAUACUACCCGUAUUAGACCACUACUUUCAUGUCGGUUAUCCAGAAGGAAGGGGCAGGUUACUCACGUGUUACUCACCCGUUCGCACUCAUCCACAACCCCCAAAAGGACGCGCUCACGUUCGACUUGC
Molecule: ribosomal RNA, 465 nt
Filed under: uncultured Actinomyces sp.
Lineage: Bacteria; Bacillati; Actinomycetota; Actinomycetes; Actinomycetales; Actinomycetaceae
Description: partial 16S ribosomal RNA
Source: RNAcentral